This is a small nuclear RNA of Loxodonta africana (African savanna elephant), 107 nucleotides long. The record is from Ensembl. NCBI's taxonomy places the organism in Eukaryota, Metazoa, Chordata, Mammalia, Proboscidea, Elephantidae.
GUGCUCGCUUCGGCAGCAUAUAUGCAAAAAUUGGAAUGAUACAGAAAAAAUUAGCAUGGCCCCAGCGAAAGGAUGACACCCAAAUUUGUGAAGCUUUCCAUAUUUUU